Molecule: ribosomal RNA, 301 nt
Filed under: uncultured bacterium
Lineage: Bacteria
Description: partial 16S ribosomal RNA
Rfam family: Bacterial small subunit ribosomal RNA
Source: RNAcentral
CAGUCGCCGCGGUAAGACAGAGGAUGCAAGCGUUAUCUGGAAUGAUUGGGCGUAAAGCGACUGUAGGUGGCUUUUCAAGUCCGCCGUCAAAUCCCAGGGCUCAACCCUGGACAGGCGGUGGAAACUACCAAGCUGGAGUACGGUAGGGGCAGAGGGAAUUCCCGGUGUAGCGGUGAAAUGCGUAGAGAUCGGGAGGAACACCAGUGGCGAAGGCGGCCAUCUGGGACAACACUGACGCUGAGGCACGAAAGCGUAGGGAGCAAACAGGAUUAGAUACCCGCGUAGUCCCUGUCUCUUAUAA